Molecule: long non-coding RNA, 6484 nt
Filed under: Cucumis sativus (cucumber)
Lineage: Eukaryota; Viridiplantae; Streptophyta; Magnoliopsida; Cucurbitales; Cucurbitaceae
Description: long non-coding RNA (CSAT_LNC000161)
Source: RNAcentral
UCACUUGAUUUAGGGUUAUGUUUCUCUUUUUCAAUCCAUGUCUUCCGCCGUCACUUUGUAUUUCUCGCUUGGAUUCAUUCCGUUUCUGGUAAAUUUUUCGAUUUCCUUUUUCCAACCAUGUACAAACAAUUCAACCCUUUCUUUUAUGUCUUGAGAAUUUUGGAUCACCUCCCUAUUUUCUGGCUAUCGAGCUGUGUAUGUGAAGUGAGUGGGUUGAAUUGGGAUUUUGAUCAAUUAAUUUCUACUCUGUUGACAUAUAAGUAUGUGGGAAAUGAACUGCUAAUUCUUUUCUAUCCGUUCUGUGAUUUUGAAUAUUGGAUUUGUUUAUUUUUGAUAUAUCCAUAGAAUGUACAUGUUAUGUUUUUCAUUGGUAUCUGUAGAACUACUCUUUUGAAAUUGGAAAGUGGAUUGAUUAUCUUGAAACUUUCGUUGAAGGUAACAAAAAAUCAGAUUGUUGAAUUUAUGAUUUGUUCGAAAGGAAUACAUCAGUUUUGUGAUUAACAGGAUUUGUUGGCUCGAUAAUUGUAAUUGCGUGUAUGGUAUCGAUAUGGUUUAAAAUAGCCCUGUCAUUCACAUGUUUGUAAAAUGCAGUGGAUUUCUUCUUUUUGUGUAUUAUAUGGGAUUGAGAAUUUUUCUGCGAUGAUUGAAUAUGAUCUCGUGUUCUGCAGCAUCUUUUGGAAUUUUUCUGCCCUGUAUUGGUUGUUGGACAAGGUUUAUGUAUCAUGAUAUAUUAGUCAAUUUUGAUAGUUUUCUUACACUUUAAGUUCUUUUUGUAUGCCAGCCUGAGUUUGGUAUUCAUGGAUGAUCAGUACUCGUUAUCUUGGGGAAACUUUUAACUAGAAACAUGGAGGACAACGGGCUUGAGCUUAGCUUGGGUCUGUCUUGUGGGGGAUCAUCGGUCAAGUCUAAAGGAAAAAAUGCCUGCUCUUCUGAUGUUGGAACAGAGGAAAGUGAUAGAGGCAGUAAAAUUAUUGAUGAUUUCAAGAAUUUCCUUCAAGGUGGUAAUCAGAGACUAGAUAUGGGCCCAGUUAUCAUGAGAAAUGACUCAUAAAGCUUAAAGACAAUCUUUUUAAUGACCUUUCCCGAGCUAAUACAGAUGGAGAUAAUUCCCUGAACUUGAAGGCCACUGGGAUCUGGCGAAUGAAAAAGAACCCUGUAGACAUUCAGGAAGAAAAACAGCCAGAGGUGAGUAAUAAGCGAAAGAUGUUUUUUGAGGAGAUAAACUGCCAAAAGAAACAUGAAGGAGAUUCCAGUCAGAAUAAUUUUGAUGACAAGGUAAAAGCAUCACAUAAUUCCACAACCGAGGAUGGUUCUGUUGCCGAAAAUGAGGAUGUUGGGGAGUCUGAACUUGAGGGUUCUACGUCAAGGCCAGUUUCACAAAAUGAUGGAUGUGCUGAGUUAAGUACUACGGACCUGAGUGGGCAUAAAAAGGUUAACAGUUCAUCAGGUAGUGAUAUCGAGCUUCAAAACUUGAACAGAAGCGUUCCGUUCUCUAUUCAAACUACAAGUUUGCAGAAUGGUAUUUCUCCUCCAAUAGUCAAAGAUUCUCACGAUGCUGGUGCAUCCAGUUCAACUGGCCAUUCCCUACACAGCAUAAGGCAAGCAUUCCUCACUGGAAAUGGUGAGCAAUGUGGAUUCCAGCCUAUGAAUCCUGGAAACUUGCCUUUGAUGUUUGGCUAUUCUUCUAGCCAGCUUCCAACUUUAAAUAAAGAUAAUUCCCGGGGUUUGAUUUCCCAACCACAGUUGCAUAGUACUUGUAGCAAAAGUCAACCGUCUUCAGGUAAACAUCUUAUCCUACCUCAUCUGGUAGAAAACUCAUUCUUUCUUUCAAGAUAGGAACAAAACUGCGACUGUUCCCGUCCUUCAUUAUUCUGGAUCACUCUUGGUUUUAAGUUACAUCAUUGAAAGUUAAUGAUAGGCCACCGAUUAUACACCAGUAUGUUCAUAGGAGCAGAAAGGGCUAGGAAGUAGUUAUACUAGUGAGUUGGGAGAAUCAUCCAACAGUAAGGAUGAUUAUUUUCGGAAAGUUUCAGGAGGUGAUUAGUAGAUAGUUAUGUAGGGAGUUACUUUACUGUUAUUGGAGAUAUAUCUUUAAAUAUGGAGUGAAGUGAGUAAAGGAGACAAACAGUCUUUUAGUUUGGGUGUUGGUUUCUCUCGUGUGAGAGGAAAGGUUUCUGUAAUACUGUACUAUAGUUAUAUAGUAUGCUUUCUGUGAAUUAAAAGAACUCUUUUAUAGUAUCUAUCAGUUAACAGCAAGAGUGUUAACGGAUAUAGACUGUUAUUACCAAACAACUUUGAGAUUUCAUUUAUUUUGCUUUGUGCUAUUAUAGAUUUCGAUAGAGUUUACUUGAAUAGUGGGGGAUUCAGAAAUUUUGUUGACAAACAUUAGUUGACGCUUGCCUUAUGCUUUAUAGUUUAAUAAAAAUAAUCUAGAAAAAAGUGUAACGAGUGGGGUUUGAACCUAGGUCUAGAAAGGGCUAGGAGAUAGCUUUACCACUGGACUAGCUUCUGGUAUUGUUAUUUUUUCAAUUAUAUAUAUAUUAUAUAAAGAGCAUAAAGUUGAGGGAAUGCUCGAGCCUUAGGCCUUGGGCCUAUACUAAAUGCAUCAGUCGCUCAAACAAAUAAACAUGAAACAUGAAGAAACCCAGGAGCCCCUUUUUCCCAUACAAGUUACUACUACCUUAUAAACAGGAAACAUGAAGAAACUCAGGAGCCCCUUUCUCCCAUACAAGUUACUACUAACAACCCAGCUUUAAGCCAAAAAGAAGCUGUGAGACCCCCAAUCAUACAUACGUAUGUUAGGAAGGGUAAGAAGGGAAAUUCACCAACAAGUAAUGAGAGAGAAUGAGUGGGAAGUAAAAGAAUGUGCAGGUGGGUCCCACUGGGUAGGAAUUUGAGGGUGAGUAUAAAUAGAAUGAUUGGAAAUAGGGAUAGGUAUCUUUUUGUUAUCUUAGGGAAAGAGAGGCGGCAGCAGCCGAAGGAGGGGGUAUCCUUCUUGUAAAGGAUGCUGGUAUGCACUUGUUAUUUACUGUUCUUGCUUUCAUUUCAUAUUGUAGCUGUAUCUUUUGGCUAUACAUAAAUAAAGAAUCACAGGGUGCUGUCUCUGUUUAGCCAUUGUUGGGUUUUAUUAGAAGGUGUGUUAGAAUCCUGACAUUUGGUAUCAGAGCCCAACAAAAAAAAAAAAAAAACUGGGUGUUGUUACGCGUCACAUGGCACAAAGACAAAUGGAGGAACGAAUGGAAGGAACCGAGAAGGAGCUGCUGAGCAUGAAAGAAAUGUUACUGGAAAUGAAGAAAUCUAUGGAAAGACUGACAGAGGAACUAAGAGAGAAUCAUAGCUAUAAGAAAAGAGAUGAAUCCGGAACAUCUGAUGGAUCCAGCAUGAAGUUGAAAGGAAAAGUAGAAGAAUCGGAAGUCUGUAAUGAGGUAAAUGGAAGCAAUGUGGAUCGAAGUAAGUACAAAGUUAGAAAUGCCUAUGUUCUUAGGUGAAAAUCCAGAAUCCUGGGUAUAUAGAGCAGAACAUUUUUUGAGAUGAACAACCUGCCAGAAAACGAGAAGAUCAAGUGGCGGUGGUCAGUUUUGGGCAAGAUGAAGUGGACUGGUACGGUGGACGCAUAAUAGGAAGAAAGUAGAGUCAUGGGAAGAUUUGAAAGGGAGGAUGUUUGAUUUCUUCAAGGACUCAGGGACAAACAAGUCUAGUGGCACGCUUGAUUAGGAUUCAACAAGAUGGAUCCUACAGUGAGUAUGUGAAGAAAUUUGUCACAUAUUCAGCUCCCUCCCUCACAUGGAGGAAAGUGUGUUACGCGAUGCUUUUCUGACCGGUCUGGAACCCAAUCUUCAGGCAGAAGUCGUUAGUCGUUACCCUCGAACAUUGGAAGAUUGUAUGAGGGAGGCUCAACUAGUCAAUGAUCGGAAUGUAGCAAUGAAAUUGACUAAGACCGAGGGCAGGACAGUGGAACCAAAGAAAAAAGAAGAGUAUGCAGGAAAAAUCCAAGAUGGAACAGACAAAGGCUACAUGAGGAGGACAGAUUUCCCCAUAAAACAAGUAACUAUACCUAUUAAGGGUAGUUAUAAAAAAGUGAACCUCCUAUCAAACGACUUUCAGACGCAGAAUUCAGGUCCAGAUUGGAUAAGGGCCUAUGUUUUAAAUGCAAUGAGAAAUAUACACCAGGGCACAGAUGUAGAGUGAAGGAAAAAAGGGAGCUGAUGUUAUUUAUCAUGAAUGAAGAGGAGAGCAAGGAAGAGGAAGGCAAGAUGGAAGAGGAACCAGGGGAAACAGUGGAAUUAAACCAUCUGGAUUUUGCUGAAGGGAGGAAAUAGAAUUGAAGACAAUCCAUGGGAUGGCAUCGAAGGGAACGAUGAAGCUGAAGGGAAAUAUAAAGGGCAAAGGAGUGAUAGUGCUGAUUGAUAGUGGAGCAACCCAUAAUUUUAUACAUAACGGACAGUAAAGGAAAAGAACUUAUAUUGGAAAAAGGUAACCCGUUUGCAGUUACAAUUGGAGAUGGCACCAAGUGUACAGGCAAGGGUGUUUGCAAGAGAGUGGAAUUGGAACUACAAGGGUGUGGUGGUGGCUGAUUUUUUUGCUAUUGAGUUGGGAAAUGUGGAUGUAAUAUUGGGUAUGCAGUGGCUGGAUACAACAGGCACCAUGAAGAUACAUUGGCCAUCUCUAACAAUGUCCUUUGGUAGGCAAACAGAAAAUUAUUUGAAAGGAGACCCAUCCCUCAUCCAAGCAGAAUGUUCCCUGAAAACCAUUGAGAAAACGUGGGAAAAUGAAGAUCAGGGUUUUCUGUUGGAAUUCCAAAAGUAUGAAGUAGACACGGAGGUGGAAGUGGAGCAGGAAAUGAAAGGGGACGAGGAAGAGAUUCCAAUGAUUAAAAAUCUGUUACAACAGUAUGCAGACAUCUUUGAGGAUCCAAAAAACUCCCCCUAAGAGAGAAAUAGAUCACCGUAUAUUGGUUUUACCGAACCAAGGCCCAUCAAUGUCAGACCAUAUAAAUAUGGUUAUGUACAGAAGGAGGAAAUUGAGAAAUUGGUGGUGGAAAUGCUGCAAGCAGGUGUGAUACGUCCCAGUCAUAGCCCUUACUCCAGCCCUGUUUUAUUGGUCAAAAAGAAAGAUGGAGGGUGGCGCUUUUGUGUAGAUUACCGGAAACUCAACCAAGUAACCAUAUGACAAAUUUCCUAUCCCAGUGAUAGAAGAACUGCUGGAUGAAUUACAUGGGCCACGGUUUUCUCAAAACUAGAUCUGAAGUCCGGUUACCAUCAAAUAAGGAUGCAGAGGAAGAUGUUGAGAAGACCGCGUUCAGAACACAUGAGGGUCACUAUGAAUUUCUGGUCAUGCCCUUCGGUCUUACAAACGCACCAGCCACCUUCCAGUCCUUGAUGAAUCAGGUAUUCAAACCUUUUUUAAGAAGGUGUGUAUUGGUGUUCUUCCAGUCCUUGAUGAAUCAGGUAUUCAAACCUAUGUUGACAACAGAUUUCGAGUUACAACUAUGGCCAACAGGUAUUGGGAAUUCGCUGGAAUAAAGAUUUGGGAGCUAACGAAUGGCUAGUCAAGUGGAAGAAUUUACCAGAAACUGAAGCCACAUGGGAAGCUGUCUAUCAAAUGAAUCAACAGUUUCCCACAUUCCACCUUGAGGACAAGGUGAAUUUGGAACCGAGGGGUGUUGUGAGACCCCCAAUCAUACAUACGUAUGUUAGGAAGGGUAAGAAGGGAAAUUCACCAACAAGUAAUGAGAGAGAAUGAGUGGGAAGUAAAAGAAUGUGCAGGUGGGUCCCACUGGGUAGGAAUUUGAGGGUGAGUAUAAAUAGAAUGAUUGGGAAAUAGGGAUAGGUAUCUAUUUUGUUAUCCUUAGGGAAAAGAGAGGGGGCAGCAGCCGAAAAGGGGAGGGGGUAUCCUUCUUGUAAAGGAUGCUGAUAUGCACUUGUUAUUUACUGUUCUUGCUUUCAUUUCAUAUUGUAGCUGUAUCUUUUGGCUAUAUACAUAAAUAAAGAAUCACAGGGUGCUGUCUCUGUUGGGUGUUUUAUUAGAAGGUGUGUUAGAAUCCUGACAGAAGCAUACCCAACUCUUGUUCCUACCAAUGUAGUAUUAACUACAAAAACAAUAUUUCCAUGAUUCUGCUACCAUCUAUUGAUUAAUACAACAAUGUCUCAUUCCAUAUAUGUCAAUUUUCUCACCCUUUUUCUGUAUGCUUCCACGAUUGGAGGUCUAUCAAAUUUUUAGGAUACUUGCAAUGGCCGCAUUUUAUUACAUUUGUAUACCAUCCUAUAUAUCAUAGUGUAAUUUCAUUUUCCUUUGAAGCUUUUAUUUCAAGAUAAAUUCCUAACUUUUCUCAUGAAUGUUCCUUACAUGCAAGGAAUUCUUCCUACUUUAGCUGAGGUUACUCAAUAUGAUCCCAGGACGUCAGAACAAGAGAAAGUUGAUAAUAAUAGCAGACAGCCAACUGUCGAAGAAGGGUCCUCUUCUCAAGCAGGGGCCAAAGGAAGCA